GACGAACGCUGGCGGCGUGCUUAACACAUGCAAGUCGAACGGAAAGGCCCUGCUUUUGUGGGGUGCUCGAGUGGCGAACGGGUGAGUAACACGUGAGUAACCUGCCCUUGACUUUGGGAUAACUUCAGGAAACUGGGGCUAAUACCGGAUAGGAGCUCCUGCUGCAUGGUGGGGGUUGGAAAGUUUCGGCGGUUGGGGAUGGACUCGCGGCUUAUCAGCUUGUUGGUGGGGUAGUGGCUUACCAAGGCUUUGCCGGGUAGCCGGCCUGAGAGGGUGACCGGCCACAUUGGGACUGAGAUACGGCCCAGACUCCUACGGGAGGCAGCAGUGGGGAAUAUUGCGCAAUGGGCGGAAGCCUGAUGCAGCAACGCCGCGUGCGGGAUGACGGCCUUCGGGUUGUAAACCGCUUUCGCCUGUGACGAAGCGUGAGUGACGGUAAUGGGUAAAGAAGCACCGGCUAACUACGUG
This 468-nucleotide ribosomal RNA is filed under the name uncultured bacterium. RNAcentral describes it as "partial 16S ribosomal RNA". It matches the Rfam family "Bacterial small subunit ribosomal RNA", at positions 28 to 507 of the family's 1533-position model. The record is from RNAcentral.